RNAcentral lists this ribosomal RNA (1350 nucleotides) under Buttiauxella agrestis. RNAcentral's name for it is "partial 16S ribosomal RNA". It matches the Rfam family "Bacterial small subunit ribosomal RNA", at positions 82 to 1171 of the family's 1533-position model. Lineage: Bacteria; Pseudomonadati; Pseudomonadota; Gammaproteobacteria; Enterobacterales; Enterobacteriaceae. The record is from RNAcentral.
AUUCUUUAUAUUGUGUCCGAUUGAGGGCAGUACGAUUGGCUUUGUUGAACCCGGAUAGCGGCUGACCGUUUGAACUAAUGCUGGGGAACCUGCCCGUGCAGAGAGGGGGAUAUCCCCUUGGGCAGGGUGUCAAAUACCCGUUCGGAUAAUUCUCUUCGGACCAUAGAGGGGUAACCAUUCCAGGGCCGAAGGGCCUCUUGUCCUCAUAUGUGCUCAUAUGGCAUUAGAUAGUAUGCCAGGAAGACUCCGCUAGGAGAAAAUCGCUAAGUGGUCUGAGAGGAUGACCAGCCACUUUGCAACUGAGACACGGGCCCAACUCCUACGGGAGGCAGCAGUGGGGAAUAUUGCACCAUGGGCGCUAGCGCGAUGCAGCUGUGCCGCGUGUAUGAAAAAGGUCUUCGGGUUGUAAAGAACUUUCCGCGAGGAUCAAGGGUUUGUGGUUAAUAACCCCAGUGAUUGACAUUACUCGCAAAAUAAGCAGCGGUUAUCUCCGUGCCAGCAGCCGAGGUAAUACAGAGGGUGCAAGAGUUAAUCCCAAUUACUGGGCGUAAAGCGCACGCUUGCGGUCUGUCAAGUCAGAUGUGAAAUCCUCGGACUCAAUUUGGUAACUGCAUUCAAAACUGGGACGUUAGAUUUUUGUAGAGGGGGGUAUAAUUCCGGGUGUAGCGGUGAAAUGCGUAGACAUCUCGACGAUAUACCAGUGGGGAAUGCGGCCCUCUGCACAAACACUGACUCUCAGGUGCGAAAGUGUGGGGACCAAACUGGAUUAGAUACCUUGGUAGUCCACUCCGUAAACGAUGUCGACUUGGAGGUUGUUCCCUUGAAUUGAGUGGCUUCCGGAGCUAACGUGUUAACUCCGCCGUCGGCAUGGAGAGAACCGCCGCGAAGUUAACGACUCAUAUGAAUUGCCGGGGGCCCGACACACAACCGGUGGAGCAUGUGUUUUAGUUCUAUCCAACGCGAAAACCUUUUUCACUUUUGACCUCCAGAAACCUCCCCAGAAAUGCCUUGGUGCCAUCCGGAAAACCGAAAAAGGUGCUGCAUGUUUGGGCCCCGCCCGUGUUGUAAAAUGUCGGGUUUUUCCCCCCAAGAGCUUCCCCAUUUUCUUUUUGCCGCGUCUCUUCCGGAACUCAAUGAAAUCCCCUUUAACCGCAGAUGGGGGAAACUGAUUCUUCGGCCCUGAGAAAGCUCCCCCUCUAAGGCCCCCAAAAAACCACCCCGGAGAGAACCUAAAGGGCUCCCCAAAGAAACGCCCCCCCCGAAACAAAGCCAGAAUCAAACAGGAGGGGAACCACCGGUUUCCCCCCCCCCCGGGGUUCAAAAAGCUUCCCGGUCUUCCCUCAAUCGGAA